Molecule: ribosomal RNA, 470 nt
Filed under: uncultured Acaulospora
Lineage: Eukaryota; Fungi; Glomeromycota; Glomeromycetes; Diversisporales; Acaulosporaceae
Description: SSU rRNA
Rfam family: Eukaryotic small subunit ribosomal RNA
Source: RNAcentral
AGCAGCCGCGGUAAUUCCAGCUCCAAUAGCGUAUAUUAAAGUUGUUGCAGUUAAAAAGCUCGUAGUUGAAUUUCGGAGUUUGUCGGUUGGUCGGGCUUCAUUGUCCGCACUGACCUGAUGGAUUCCUACCUUCUGAAUAACCAGCAUGCUAUUAAGUUAGUGCGUUGGGGAAGCAGAGCUAUUACCUUGAAAAAUUAGAGUGCUUAAAGCAGGCUUAUGCUUGAAUAGAUUAGCAUGGAAUAAUAAAAUAGGACGGCAUGGUUCUAUUUUGUUGGUUUCUAGGAUCACCGUAAUGAUUAAUAGGGAUAGUUGGGGGCAUUAGUAUUCAAUUGUCAGAGGUGAAAUUCUUGGAUUUAUUGAAGACUAACUUCUGCGAAAGCAUUUGCCAAGGAUGUUUUCAUUAAUCAAGAACGAAAGUUAGGGGAUCGAAGACGAUCAGAUACCGUCGUAGUCUUAACCAUAAACUAUGC